This is a long non-coding RNA of Bos taurus (domestic cattle), 454 nucleotides long. The record is from Ensembl. Lineage: Eukaryota; Metazoa; Chordata; Mammalia; Artiodactyla; Bovidae.
GGCAUGUCAAGGCCACGCAGGCAAGAGAACACAAACAUUCAGCCCAGAUAUGGAGAGGCAGCUGGGUAUUUACAUUACCCAACAGAGCAAAGUCUAGUUUCACUUGUUCCUGGGGUUGUGUGUAGAAGCCUCGCAUCCGGCACUUCACAACAGAGUCCUAGCGUGAAAUGGCUGUGCCUGACGCCUCAGCUUAGCGGGCGCUGUGCAGAAGCUCUGUACAUGACAUUGCAACCCAACAGGGUGGCAGCAGGCUGGAUGCCGAUAAUGCUGCACAUGACCAAGAUGGCGGCAGCAGGCCAAGUGCAGAAGCGUCGCGCCCAGCACUUGGAUCCGGACCGAGUGCUCUGAGCAGCACAACCAUGCCCCACCCGUGAGAAAUCCUGGCCCCUGCCUGCUGACAAAGCCCUAUAAAGCAGCCCUGCCCAUAGACGUGUGCUCUACAGCUCAAGCUCGC